Molecule: ribosomal RNA, 253 nt
Filed under: uncultured bacterium
Lineage: Bacteria
Description: partial 16S ribosomal RNA
Rfam family: Bacterial small subunit ribosomal RNA
Source: RNAcentral
UACGUAGGAGGCAAGCGUUGUCCGGAUUCAUUGGGCGUAAAGAGCGUGUAGGCGGCCAGGUAGGUCGGUUGUGAAAACUGGAGGCUCAACCUUCAGAGGUCGACCGAAACCAUCUGGCUAGAGUCCGGGAGAGGAGAGUGGAAUUCCUGGUGUAGCGGUGAAAUGCGCAGAUAUCAGGAAGAACACCCGUGGCGAAAGCGGCUCUCUGGAACGGUACUGACGCUGAGACGCGAAAGCGUGGGGAGCGAACAGG